Molecule: ribosomal RNA, 253 nt
Filed under: uncultured Leptotrichiaceae bacterium
Lineage: Bacteria; Fusobacteriati; Fusobacteriota; Fusobacteriia; Fusobacteriales; Leptotrichiaceae
Description: partial 16S ribosomal RNA
Rfam family: Bacterial small subunit ribosomal RNA
Source: RNAcentral
UACGUAUGUCGCAAGCGUUAUCCGGAAUUAUUGGGCUUAAAGGGCAUCUAGGCGGUUUUUCAAGUCAGGGGUGAAAACUUAUGGCUCAACUAUAAGCUUGCCUUUGAAACUGAAAAACUAGAGUACUGGAAAGGUGGGUGGAACUACACGAGUAGAGGUGAAAUUCGUAGAUAUGUGUAGGAAUGCCGAUGAUGAAGAUAACUCACUGGACAGAAACUGACGCUGAAGUGCGAAAGCUAGGGGAGCAAACAGG